GAUGAAGAACGUAGCGAACUGCGAUAAGUAAUGUGAAUUGCAGAAUUCAGUGAAUCAUCGAGUCUUUGAACGCACAUUGCGCCCCCUGGCAUUCCGGGGGGCAUGCCUGUCCGAGCGUCAUUGCUGCCCUUCAAGCCCGGCUUGUGUGUUGGGUCGUCGUCCCCCCCGGGGGACGGGCCCGAAAGGCAGCGGCGGCACCGCGUCCGGUCCUCGAGCGUAUGGGGCUUUGUCACCCGCUCGAUUAGGGCCGGCCGGGCGCCAGCCGGCGUCUCCAACCUUCUAUUUUACCAGGUUGACCUCGGAUCAGGUAGGGAUACCCGCUGAACUUAAGUAUAUCAAUAAGCGGAGGA
This 350-nucleotide unclassified non-coding RNA is filed under the name soil metagenome. RNAcentral describes it as "partial contains 5.8S ribosomal RNA, internal transcribed spacer 2, and large subunit ribosomal RNA". The stretch from base 1 to 120 matches the Rfam family "5.8S ribosomal RNA", at positions 35 to 154 of the family's 154-position model. The record is from RNAcentral.